RNAcentral lists this transfer RNA (72 nucleotides) under Bos taurus (domestic cattle). It matches the Rfam family "tRNA". Rfam says of the family: Transfer RNA (tRNA) molecules are approximately 80 nucleotides in length. Their secondary structure includes four short double-helical elements and three loops (D, anti-codon, and T loops). Further hydrogen bonds mediate the characteristic L-shaped molecular structure. tRNAs have two regions of fundamental functional importance: the anti-codon, which is responsible for specific mRNA codon recognition, and the 3' end, to which the tRNAs corresponding amino acid is attached (by aminoacyl-tRNA synthetases). tRNAs cope with the degeneracy of the genetic code in two manners: having more than one tRNA (with a specific anti-codon) for a particular amino acid; and 'wobble' base-pairing, i.e. permitting non-standard base-pairing at the 3rd anti-codon position. Lineage: Eukaryota; Metazoa; Chordata; Mammalia; Artiodactyla; Bovidae. RNAcentral also lists the same sequence under 4 other names. The record is from Rfam by way of RNAcentral.
UCCCUGGUGGUUCAGUGGCUAAGACUCUUGCUCCUGAUGCACAGGGCCUAGGUUCAAUUCCUGGUCAGGGAA